This 58-nucleotide ribosomal RNA is filed under the name Clusia sp. JA 3663. RNAcentral describes it as "partial 28S ribosomal RNA". The record is from RNAcentral. Lineage: Eukaryota; Viridiplantae; Streptophyta; Magnoliopsida; Malpighiales; Clusiaceae.
GCGACUCCAGGUCAGGCGGGACUACCCGCUGAGUUUAAGCAUAUCAAUAAGCGGAGGA